Molecule: non-coding RNA, 148 nt
Filed under: Chlorocebus sabaeus (green monkey)
Lineage: Eukaryota; Metazoa; Chordata; Mammalia; Primates; Cercopithecidae
Source: Rfam by way of RNAcentral
GCUGGGUGUGGUGGCACACACCUGUAAUUCCAGCUACUUGGGAGGCUGAGGCAAGAGAAUCGCUUGAACCCAGGAGCUGGAGGUUGCAGUGAGCUAAGAUUGCACCACUGCACUCCAGCCUGGGUGACAGAGUGAGACCCUGUCUCCC